This 483-nucleotide ribosomal RNA is filed under the name uncultured bacterium. Its description in RNAcentral is "partial 16S ribosomal RNA". It matches the Rfam family "Bacterial small subunit ribosomal RNA", at positions 30 to 506 of the family's 1533-position model. The record is from RNAcentral.
AUUGAACGCUGGCGGCAGGCCUAACACAUGCAAGUCGAGCGGAUGAAGGGAGCUUGCUCCUGGAUUCAGCGGCGGACGGGUGAGUAAUGCCUAGGAAUCUGCCUGGUAGUGGGGGAUAACGUCCGGAGACGGGCGCUAAUACCGCAUACGUCCUGAGGGAGAAAGUGGGGGAUCUUCGGACCUCACGCUAUCAGAUGAGCCUAGGUCGGAUUAGCUAGUUGGUGGGGUAAAGGCCUACCAAGGCGACGAUCCGUAACUGGUCUGAGAGGAUGAUCAGUCACCCGGGAACUGAGACACGGUCCAGACUCCCAGGGGAGGCAGCAGUGGGGAAUUUUGGAAAAUGGGCGAAAGCCUGACCCAGCCAUGGCGGGGGUGUGAAGAAGGUCUGCGGAUUGUAAAGCACUUUAAGUUGGGGGGAAGGGCAGUAAGUUAAACCCUGGCUGUUUUGACGUUACCAACAAAAUAAGCCCCGGCUAACUUCGU